Molecule: microRNA precursor, 74 nt
Filed under: Mesitornis unicolor (brown roatelo)
Lineage: Eukaryota; Metazoa; Chordata; Aves; Mesitornithiformes; Mesitornithidae
Description: mir-551 microRNA precursor family
Rfam family: mir-551 microRNA precursor family
Source: Rfam by way of RNAcentral
UGCCCCUGGGAGCCAAGCGUCGGUGGAGCCUGUGGGUACCAAUUUGGGCGACCCACGCUUGGCUUCCAGGGUCU